This 440-nucleotide ribosomal RNA is filed under the name uncultured bacterium. Its description in RNAcentral is "partial 16S ribosomal RNA". It matches the Rfam family "Bacterial small subunit ribosomal RNA", at positions 338 to 795 of the family's 1533-position model. The record is from RNAcentral.
CCUACGUGAGGCAGCAGUAGGGAAUAUUGCUCAAUGGGGGAAACCCUGAAGCAGCAACGCCGCGUGGAGGAUGAAGGUUUUCGGAUUGUAAACUCCUUUUGUUAGAGAAGAUAAUGACGUUAUCUAACGAAUAAUCACCGGCUAACUCCGUUCCAGCAGCCGCGGGAAUACGGAGGGUGCAAGCGUUACUCGGAAUCACUGGGCGUAAAGAGCGCGUAGGCGGGAUAGCAAGUCAGAUGUGAAAUCCUAUGGCUUAACCAUAGAACUGCAUUUGAAACUGUUAUUCUAGAGUAUGGGAGAGGUAGGUGGAAUGCUUGGUGUAGGGGUAAAAUCCGUAGAGAUCAAGAGGAAUACUCAUUGCGAAGGCGACCUGCUAGAACAUAACUGACGCUGAUGCGCGAAAGCGUGGGGAGCAAACAGGAUUAGAUACCCUUGUAGUC